This 234-nucleotide ribosomal RNA is filed under the name uncultured bacterium. RNAcentral describes it as "partial 16S ribosomal RNA". It matches the Rfam family "Bacterial small subunit ribosomal RNA", at positions 99 to 334 of the family's 1533-position model. The record is from RNAcentral.
CGAACGGGUGCGUAACACGUGAGCGACCUUCCGUCUUCUGGGGGAUAGCCGGCCCAACGGCCGGGUAAUACCGCAUACGCUCUCUGGGCCGCAUGGCUUGGGGAGGAAACUUCCGGGGAGGACGAGGGGCUCGCGGCCUAUCAGCUAGUUGGUGCGGUAACGGCGCACCAAGGCGACGACGGGUAGCUGGUCUGAGAGGAUGGCCAGCCACAUUGGGACUGAGAGACGGCCCAG